AGAUAAGUAUCUGACUCGGGUUCGAUUGAUAUCAAGAUAAAAAUCUAAAACCCCCAAAAAUGAAAACCCAUAUUUUCAAUCUUUUAAAUUUCUUCCGUAUUGAUUUCCCAUCGCUGUCAGAUGGCGCCUUUUGAUACCCAAAUUGUACAUCUAUACCUCUUGUACAUCUAUACCCCACAUAUUUACCAAAACACACGUAUACCCCUUGAGCACUCGUGGGGGUAAAUAUAAGCCAGUAUCAAAGAACUACUACUACUGGUCGGUAACCAUUUUACGAGGGCGAAUCAACAUCAAUACCCCGCGCACGCGUCCUUAAUUACUUCGAAUUCCCAUCCAAGGGUUCGUUCCUUUGGUUAUGGAUCAGUUGGGCUUCGGCCCUUGCGCGAGCCUUCGGGCUCCCAAAAUUUCCCUUCAAGUUUCUAAAUAAAUAAAUAAAUAAAUAAAUAAAUAAAAACCGUGAUUCUUCUUAUUCGUGAGUGAUCUUUUCAAAAUAAAUUACGGAUUAACGCAAAGUUUGGAAUGGUCUGUGAUAAGGACAGAACAGGUCAAGAAUGAAGAAAAGAAAUUAUUUAUUAAUAAUUAAAAAAAUGAAGACGGAAUUUUGGAAAGAGAGUAAUAAAAAAUUGGUUAUUGUUAGAAAAAUGCCGUUUUAAAAUAGUCGGCAUUGAAUCAACAUAUCCCUUAGAAUAAAUUAGCCAAUAUUUAACCUACCUAAGUUUGCUUAUACUGUAAGUACAUACAUAUACAUAUAAUAUAUAUAAAUAUAUGGUAAAAAAAAAUUUAUAAAAAAUUGCUCUUACCUUUAAAGUAAGAUUUUUUAGAAUACACACGGCAUAAAACUAUAAAUUAUUAUUUUUAAAUUAAUAUUAUUAUUAUUAUUAUUAUUUUUACACGGCCGCUAAGGCAAGUGUGGCGGGUGUAUUAUGCAAUAAAAUAAUUUGUAAUUGUAAAACAUGUUAUUUAACAUGUUAAAUAACUGUUAUUUAAAUUUAAUUAAUUUUUAAAUUAUUAUUUUGUUUUAUUAAAAUUAUGUAUUAUAAUGAUAAAAAAACAAAAUCUACGUCUUCCAAAAAAUAUAUGUAAUUACUAUUGAUAAACUAUACCUGUUAAUAUUUAUAAGUAUUUAAGUGAGCUAUUGUAAACUGCAUUGGGGACUUGAGAAUCGCAAAUACCAUCAACAUAUUUAAAUUAACAAUAAAUAAUAAGAUAAUAUAUUAUAUUAUAUUAUGAUAUAUACUACAGCAUUGUAUUAUGAAUAUGAAUAGAGAAAAAUAGUAUUGUUACAGUUAUUAUUUAAAGCUAUUGAAGCCGAGCAAAUAAUAAAAACUGAAGAAAAAUUUCACGCAGUGUGGCUUUACAAAUAAGAUACGUUCAACAGGAACGGGCAAACUAGGUGAAACCUUUACAAAGUUAAUUGGUUCAUGUUGUUACGCCGUUCGCAAACGUUGUGACGCGACAAUAAAUAAGUAGGUUAGUUGGAAAGAUUGAUAGCGGAGUUUUAUUGAUAUCACAUGUAUCAGAUAUUCAGAUAUUCAGAUAUGGUUAUUAAUUAUUGGUAAAUAAUGUUGGACUUACUUGCGUUAUUAUAAUUAUUAUUAGUGUUUUAAAUGUACUUGUAGUUAUUGUUCAUUCGAUGUAAUCAUAUUGGGUUGAAAAAUGUAUUUAAACAAUAAUAAUGGUUUAAAAGUC
Molecule: long non-coding RNA, 1689 nt
Organism: Cotesia glomerata
Lineage: Eukaryota; Metazoa; Arthropoda; Insecta; Hymenoptera; Braconidae
Exons: 2
Source: RefSeq, a predicted model, not a curated record